UAAAAGAGAAUAACCCUUGUAUAAUUUCAAGAAUAUGGCUUGAAAGUUUCUACCAGCUACCAAUAAUAGCUUGUCUACAAGGAAUGGGAU
RNAcentral lists this non-coding RNA (90 nucleotides) under Candidatus Kurthia intestinigallinarum. RNAcentral's name for it is "Purine riboswitch". It matches the Rfam family "Purine riboswitch aptamer", at positions 5 to 95 of the family's 102-position model. Rfam says of the family: Riboswitches are metabolite binding domains within certain messenger RNAs that serve as precision sensors for their corresponding targets. Allosteric rearrangement of mRNA structure is mediated by ligand binding, and this results in modulation of gene expression. A class of riboswitches that selectively recognises guanine and becomes saturated at concentrations as low as 5 nM. The record is from RNAcentral. Lineage: Bacteria; Bacillati; Bacillota; Bacilli; Caryophanales; Caryophanaceae. RNAcentral also lists the same sequence under 1 other name.